Mustela lutreola (European mink) is the source of this 1227-nucleotide long non-coding RNA. RefSeq lists it as uncharacterized. The record is from RefSeq and is a predicted model, not a curated record. NCBI's taxonomy places the organism in Eukaryota, Metazoa, Chordata, Mammalia, Carnivora, Mustelidae. The transcript has 3 exons.
AGCGCGUGCAGGAGACAGACCGCCUGGGGCAGCAUCUGUACUCGGCCUGGGAUUGAGAAAGCACAGCACAGACACAUGAAUAAUGAAACCCCAAUAUCGCCACUAAUGAGAGCUCCUCCAGUGCCUGGCGCACGGUAGCGCUUCGCACUGCCACCCCACUGGAUGAGGGGAGAGAUGGGAAAAACUCCCCCCUCCAAUGGUUUCACUGCAGAUCCUGAGGCCUAGAAUUCCGUGGUGGAAUGGAGCCAGGAGGUCAUGAGAACCACUCAAGAUCUAGUCGGCUGAAUAUCACACAGUUACUCGGGAACUCUCCUUCCACUGCCACGAGUGCUGCCAAACUGCCUCAGUGUGGAAGGUGCUCCACGGUCAUGCUGCACUGGGACCCCAAAAAGACCAUAACACAACUACAGUGGGCCUAGAUUCAACCACUGAUCUUCCGUGCAAGUGAAGUUAUUUUUUUUUUCCUUGAAAAGAAGCAAAGCUCUUACAGCUACAUGGACCACUGUUACCAAGAGGAGUAUUUCUUCCCUCAGGAAAAAAAAAAUUAAAAUAAAAGUAAAAGUUAUACCUCUUCCCUAGUGAUGGUUCAGUCCAGCCUGGGAACCGCUUGAGAUUCAUAGUCAAGGUGGCCUACGUCCAGCUCCCUAGGAUCCUUGAGAACUUUCUUCUGUCCCCACCCACAUCCUGGACUGUUGACUCCGGAGAGACAAGCCACCUCCCUGCCCACUCACAACUUGUCUAAGUCCAGGUGAUCACGACUACCAGGGACUGCAAGGGCGCUGGUCUGUGGAAUGUGCAUGCAGAGCCUCAGGGGGCAUGCGGGGACAGGAGUCACCGCAUGGUGUCUGCAGCAGUGGUGUGAGUCUAGCUGCCUGUCUUGAAAUCCAGGCUACAUCUGUCCGUUUUCCUAUGGCCACAUUAUUGCACAUUUUUGUACCUGUCUUUUCCUCUGCAAAAUGGAGAUAACUGCAUCUGCCUGGAGUCUUGUCAGAAUUAAAUGAGGCAAGGCAUGAAAUCGCUUAGGAGAGUGUCUGAUACAUUAUGUACUUUGGGGGCUGGAGAUGGUAGAGUCGUUUCUGACUAGGCACAACUGCCUUUCAGUUCUCCUUUCCCGCAGAACUGCAAUUCACCAAACUCCCGCGUCCUGUGCCGUUCCCACAGCUCUCUGCUGCCCCCUGCUGACAUCUUGUUGAUACUGGCAGUGUAACGGUUCUCAGCGUCAGAUAC